AAAUUACUCAAGUAAGUAAAUUAAUAAAGAAUACUUUAAUCUAAUUUUUAGUAUAAUCAAAAUCUAAUUUAGUCUUAUUAUCUUAAGAUUUUUAACUCUAUUUAUCUAUUCACUAAUCAUUAGCCUUGUUUUGUGCCUUUUUUGUUACCACUUUUUUAUAGUGGGUUGUUACCUAGCCUCCUUAAACAUAUCUUAUGUUUUUGGUGACUAUUAUCAAUAAAUUAUUGCUGAUUAAAAAAAAAACAAUUUUAACCAAAAAAAUCACUAUCACUAUUCACCACUACUCUUAAGUCAGUGAGAGACACAACUACCUCUCAACAUUUUCACCCACCCCCCUCACACGCAUUAAAAAAAAAAUUCCCCAAUUCCAAUUUGUUUUCUUUCUUCCCAUCUCAAAUCUUUUUCAUUUACAAACAACACAAAUUCCAAUUUGUUUUCUUUCUUCCCAUCUCAAAUCUUUUCCAUUUACAAACAACACAAUAGUUUACAAAAGGUUAUUAGUUACCUGUUGGUGGGAUGGAAGCACCGAAGCACAGCAGCAGCAGCUUGCAAUCACGCACAGAUCAAAGGAGAGGAAAGAAAGAAGCAUGGACAGAGGAGAGGAAAGAACACAGGCUGUGAAAUUGUUUGUGAGGAGAGGAAAGAAAGAAGCAUGAACAGAGGAGAGGAUUAGGAAAGAAAGAAGGAAGNNN
This 692-nucleotide long non-coding RNA is filed under the name Trifolium pratense (red clover). RNAcentral's name for it is "long non-coding RNA (TPRA_LNC001527)". The record is from RNAcentral. Lineage: Eukaryota; Viridiplantae; Streptophyta; Magnoliopsida; Fabales; Fabaceae.